This 783-nucleotide ribosomal RNA is filed under the name Dichotomocladium hesseltinei. RNAcentral's name for it is "LSU rRNA". It matches the Rfam family "Eukaryotic large subunit ribosomal RNA", at positions 151 to 849 of the family's 3401-position model. The record is from RNAcentral. Lineage: Eukaryota; Fungi; Mucoromycota; Mucoromycetes; Mucorales; Lichtheimiaceae.
AGAGUUGUCGUCCAGGUUAGCUAGAUCUACAAGUCCUUGGAAUAGGGCACCUUGGAGGGUGAGAGUCCCGUCCUGGAUCUAAGCAUAAUCUUUUGUGUCGACUUCUCGACGAGUCAGGUUGUUUGGGAAUGCAGCCUAAAGUGGGUGGUAAAUCCCAUCUAAAGCUAAAUAUUGGCGAGAGACCGAUAGCGAACAAGUACCGUGAGGGAAAGAUGAAAAGAACUUUGAAAAGAGAGUUAAACAGUAUGUGAAAUUGCUAAGAGGGAAGCGUUUGGAGUCAGACUGGCUUUGUCUGAAUCAGCCUAUUCUUUGGAGUGGGUUUAUUUCGGGCUUGUGCCUGCCAACAGCAGUUUUCCUGGAUGGAAAAAACUUUAGGGAAGGUAGUUCCUCGGAAUGUUUAUAGCCCUAGAGAAAAUACAUUCGGGGAGACUGAGGAAUGCAAUGGAUGCCUUUAGGCUUUGACUUGGCGUCUCUGUUUGAUGGUACGGUUAGUUUUCAGCUUGCUGAUGCUAGUUGUAUUUGAGGGCAAGGGCGUUAGGAUCUUUAAUCUAUUCUGGUUGUUGGCUUAAUGACUCUAAACGACCCGUCUUGAAACACGGACCAAGGAGUCCACCAUUGAUGCGAGUAUUUGGGUGGCAAACCCGGAAUGCGCAAUGAAAGUGAAUAGCUAUCAAGUCCUUGGACUGCAAUAGCGUCCGGCGUAGACGUUUUAUACUGAAAUGACCGAGACAAAGCAUCAAUGAUGGGACCCGAAAGAUGGUGAACUAUGCUUGAGUAGGGUGA